UUCCAGACUCCUACGGGAGGCAGCAGUGAGGAAUAUUGGUCAAUGGCCGAGAGGCUGAACCAGCCAAGUCGCGUGAGGGAAGACGGCCCUACGGGUUGUAAACCUCUUUUGUCAGGGAGCAAAGGGCGCCACGUGUGGCGUUUUGCGAGUACCUGAAGAAAAAGCAUCGGCUAACUCCGUGCCAGCAGCCGCGGUAAUACGGAGGAUGCGAGCGUUAUCCGGAUUUAUUGGGUUUAAAGGGUGCGCAGGCGGAAUGUCAAGUCAGCGGUAAAAUUUCGGGGCUCAACCCCGUCGUGCCGUUGAAACUGCAUCCCUUGAGUGCGCGAGAAGUAUGCGGAAUGCGUGGUGUAGCGGUGAAAUGCAUAGAUAUCACGCAGAACUCCGAUUGCGAAGGCAGCAUACCGGCGCGCAACUGACGCUCAUGCACGAAAGCGUGGGUAUCGAACAGGAUUAGAUACCCCUGUA
Molecule: ribosomal RNA, 465 nt
Filed under: uncultured bacterium
Lineage: Bacteria
Description: bacterial SSU rRNA
Rfam family: Bacterial small subunit ribosomal RNA
Source: RNAcentral